AGAUUGAACGCUGGCGGCAUGCCUAACACAUGCAAGUCGAACGGGAGUAGCAAUACUCUAGUGGCGGACGGGUGAGGAAUACGUAGGAAUUUGCCCUUAAGUGGGGGAUAACCCGGGGAAACCCGGAUUAAUACCGCAUGACCUCGAAAGAGCAAAGUGGGGGAUCGCAAGACCUCACGCUUUUGGAGAAGCCUACGUCGGAUUAGCUAGUUGGUGAGGUAAUGGCUCACCAAGGCGACGAUCCGUAACUGGUCUGAGAGGAUGAUCAGUCACACCGGAACUGAGACACGGUCCGGACUCCUACGGGAGGCAGCAGUGGGGAAUAUUGGACAAUGGGCGACAAGCCUGACU
This 351-nucleotide ribosomal RNA is filed under the name uncultured soil bacterium. RNAcentral's name for it is "bacterial SSU rRNA". It matches the Rfam family "Bacterial small subunit ribosomal RNA", at positions 26 to 388 of the family's 1533-position model. The record is from RNAcentral.